CCAGGCUACAGCCAUGCUGGACUGAGCGCCAGGGCAACCCAAGGCCAGGCUGCUGUCUGCUGGAUGGUUCACGUAAAACACUGGCACCGCCGAUGGCCGAGAGGCCGAACUACCACACACACAGGAUGGACCACAAACUCUGGAUCAAACCACGCUGGUGUUGGUGUCGUGUCACUGUAAUGAGCUCACCUGUAGCCAAGAAAUGUCAUCAGAGAGUCCAGUCUGGAAGGACGAGGGUCUGGAGGUGGACACGUUACUGUACAGCUCCGCACUUCUAACGUGGCCUCAACCCUCCUCUGCUCCAGGUGGACAAAGGCCCGAGGCACCGCCCUGGAGCCGCAUGAAGCCACCGUUUGGUUGGCUCGUCUGUAGCGCACGUGCAGGUAGUUGGACUGGAGGUAGCAGAGUCCCACGCGCACCUGCUCCCCAGCCACUCCACAGCGAUUGCACACUGACCAGGGCUGGAACCUGGUGAACACCUCAUACAGGGGCUGAGCUAAGCCAGCAGAGGCAGCUCUGUUUCUCAUGUCCUGCGUCUUGAGCCUGCAGAAAACCAGAGAUGGAUCACUGUGGUUUAGAUGCAGGUUGUCACCACCACUAGCCAAAGCUCAAUAAAUUCAAAUUGUCAGUCAUCAAUAAGUAUCAGCCCGUCUCCUCACCUUGAACUAGAUCUGAGCAUAUGCGCCUCCUGAAUGUCCAGGUCAUAACCGUAGAAGAAGUCUUUGUGGGCAGAGCCACACAUAUAGAUACCAGAGUCACCGGGAGCCGCCCUGAAGAUCAACAGGCUAAAGAGGCGGAUGGAGAAUCGACUACGCAGGUCAGCACUGUGAGGGAUGUGGCUUGUGUCCAGCACCUUGUUGCCAUGGUAAUCAGUCAAGGCUUUGGUCUCCGCAGAGUGUCCUAGAUGCUUCUUAAAGAACCACACAACGGACUGAACCUGAAAUGUACAGGAGACCAGAACACCAGAGAACUUCAUACAGGCCGAGAUUUCAGACAAAGAAAAUUUACUGAUGGUUAUUGUGAUUGAUAGAAACAUUGUAUUUCCAGUUGCAGCAGGCUAUGUUGAUGCUCUAUAAUAUUAGGACGCAGGAUGACCAGCUGUUACCUGGUGGGGUUUGCAGUGACAUGGGAGCUCCACCGUGGCUCCAGCCAGGUGGGCGGCGUUGGUGAAGGUCAGGAAGGCCGGACAGGCACGCGUAGCGAACACGUCCUGCGUCUCCUCAGGAGCCUCGUAGCUGCAGGCACUGGGCCAGAGCAGGAGGAGGACGAGUGGAGAGGAGACGGGAGAAAGCAUCAAAGCUUGAGGAGGACCUAAAGCAGCUGAGGAACAAAGCGCGUGUCAUUUCAAACAACAACAGAACCCUGUCACGUCGCGUUUAUGUAUUGAACCGCAUCAUUCUUGCUUUUAGCUGUUUCAAACUAACAUGUUUUUCUUCAGUUUGCUUUGGCCUUUGGUUGCUAUAGUAAUGUUUUCUGCACUGGCACAGAGUAAAAGUUCUGAUAUAUUGUAUAAAAACUAGAGCUCUAUAGUUUAGUCUUUCACAUCACAUAAACUUAUCAUGAGUAAAAGUAUUUGACUACUAAUACUAAAUCUAGAUGGGCCCUUUAAUUAUGCUACAAGAGAGGAGAAAUAAUAAAUUGUGAAUUAUAGUGGUUUUGAUGUUCACUAAUAUCCUUACACUAAACACCAACUGUGUAUUCUAAAUAGUUUUUAAUUCCAUAAUUGUACAAUGUUUAUUAUAUUUGUUUAAUAUUACAAUUUUCUGAUUUAAUUUAGUUUUUCAAUGUGAAUGUUUGGGAUAAUUUUCCCUAACGUGACUCAUUUAA
Long non-coding RNA from Betta splendens (Siamese fighting fish), 1827 nucleotides. RefSeq lists it as uncharacterized. The transcript is spliced from 2 exons. Lineage: Eukaryota; Metazoa; Chordata; Actinopteri; Anabantiformes; Osphronemidae. The record is from RefSeq and is a predicted model, not a curated record.